Molecule: long non-coding RNA, 1570 nt
Organism: Gallus gallus (chicken)
Lineage: Eukaryota; Metazoa; Chordata; Aves; Galliformes; Phasianidae
Source: Ensembl
UGAAGGUUGGCUUGGCAAGACCUGCCUGACAAGGUGGUCAUUAAAUCCUAACAGGCAACUACUGAUCUGAAACUCCUUGGGGCAGUGGGCUGGACCAGGCCUUUGUGAUCAAGGGGGUUUGGAGCUGCAGCUGUGGGCACUUUGCCAAAGGCUGAGACAGAAGGCAAGUGUUAGAAGAGGAUUUAAACAGAGUGAAGCUUCACAGAGAUGAAGGAUGCAGAAUAUGCUCUUCUCAGUUAGUGUACUUGUUCAGUACCUGGAAAAAAGAGACCCCUCUUGUCUUCAAGCCUGUUUUUCAGAGAGAAAACAAAACCACCACAAAACAACCACUAAAAAAAUGCUCAACAGCUGCUUCCUGAACUGGAGAUGUUUCUGAUCCCAAAAACCUGGCUUGCUUGUCACAUCUGUGUAUUGAGGGACCUUCGUAUAUGAAAGAAGUAGAGGCUGCCUGUUGCAAGUGGUUGUGCUUCGCAGAUGGACAGGCAAACACAGCAGAUGGAAGAUGUCACAUUCUGGAGACCAGAAAAUACUUUCUAAAUACUUUCUUCUUCAGUGUCUGGAUCUUGUUUUUCUGAUUUUUUUUUUAUUAUUUUUUAAAAAUUAUAUACGUAUAUAUAUAUAUUUUUUUUUCUGAGAAGAGCAUUUAGUGAAAGAAUGGAGGCUGGGUUUGCUGUCAGAAGGCAGAGCUGCAAACAUGGCUUAACAACGUUAAGGACUUCUACACCUGUCUACACCAAGAAGAGGAAGAAAUUCUCAAUGAACAAAGAAAGUGUCAGGAAAACCACAGAGCCAUCUGACUUCCAGGCAGACUGUUAUGAUUCACAUGCUCCAUUGCUUACAGAAUACCACACUAGAGAGGGAUGCUACAAGGAAGAGUUAAAAUCUAUUGUGUGGAAGGUGUAUCUUACUUGCCUUCAGAUAUUUACAAGUUAAGUAAAAACUUGUUAACCUUUGCUCCUUUUAAUGUCAGCUGAGGAUAUACUCUACUUCUAUGAAUGCUGCUCUGAAUGUAGGGCCUCCUAUUUAUUUCCAUGAACACUACAAAUGCUGUGAAGAGUACAAUAAUGCUCUUUGACAGAGAAAAUUGUCAGCUACAAAACACUAUUUUUCAGCAUAGUCACCACCAUUAGCUGUGCAUUUUCAUCAGUGAUGAUCAUGAGCCUGCAUGUGAUGCCCAUAAAUGUCAAUGCCAUUAGAGGUGGCCCACUGUCACUGUUACCACUUCUGAAAUGCACCACUCACUGUCUCACUGUGCUCACAUCCUCUGUUUGGUCACCAUAAACAUUCAGCAAGUGUUGAUGAAUGUCAGUGGGUUCCGUUUUUUUCUGAUUGGAGGAAUUCAGUGAAACACCUUUGCUUCACAUGCACUUCCAUGUCAGACUGCCUCUCUGCUACCACUUGCCACAUGACUAUAAAUUUAAUGGAGUAUUGAUGGGAAGGUUCAACCUCUACUGACAUACCAUCAUCAUUUGACUCUGAAGUUGUGGGCUAAUAUAAUAAAAUAGAGGCAUUACUUUUGGAUCAGCCUUGUAUUAUUAACAAGAACAGAUUCUAUAACGCUAUGAGGUUG